AUUGAACGCUGGCGGCAGGCUUAACACAUGCAAGUCGAGCGGGGUGAUGGUGCUUGCACUAUCACUUAGCGGCGGACGGGUGAGUAGUGCCUAGAAAUCUGCCUAUUAGUGGGGGACAACAUCUCGAAAGGGAUGCUACUACCGCAUACGUCCUACGGGAGACGGCAGGGGAUCCCUUGUGGCCUUUCGCUAAUAGAUGAGCCCAAGUCGGAUUAGCUAGUUGGUGGGGUAAAGGCCUACCAAGGCGACGAUCUGUAGCGGGUCUGAGAGGAUGAUCCGCCACACUGGGACUGAGACACGGCCCAGACUCCUACGGGAGGCAGCAGUGGGGAAUAUUGGACAAUGGGGGGAACGCUGAUCCAGACAGGCCGCGUGUGUGAAGAAGGCCUUAUGGUUGUAAAGCACUUUAAGCGAGGAGGAGGCUCUUUUGGUUAAUACCCAAGAUGAGUGGACGUUACUCACAGAAUAAGCACCGGCUAACUCUGUGCCAGCCGCCGCGGUAA
RNAcentral lists this ribosomal RNA (503 nucleotides) under uncultured bacterium. RNAcentral describes it as "partial 16S ribosomal RNA". It matches the Rfam family "Bacterial small subunit ribosomal RNA", at positions 30 to 523 of the family's 1533-position model. The record is from RNAcentral.